RNAcentral lists this ribosomal RNA (409 nucleotides) under Peptostreptococcaceae bacterium canine oral taxon 071. RNAcentral describes it as "bacterial SSU rRNA". It matches the Rfam family "Bacterial small subunit ribosomal RNA", at positions 9 to 393 of the family's 1533-position model. Lineage: Bacteria; Bacillati; Bacillota; Clostridia; Peptostreptococcales; Peptostreptococcaceae. The record is from RNAcentral.
GAGUUUGAUUCUGGCUCAGGAUGAACGCUGGCGGCGUGCUUAACACAUGCAAGUCGAACGAAGCGGGAAGGAAGAAGUUUUUCGAAAUGGAUUUUUUCUUUGCUUAGUGGCGGACGGGUGCGUAACACGUAGGUAACCUGCCCUGUGCUUCGGAAUAACUCCGGGAAACCGGUGCUAAUGCCGAAUAAUAUCGCCUGUCGGCAUCGAGAGGCGAUCAAAGAAUUUUGGCACAGGAUGGGCCUGCGCCGGAUUAGCUGGUUGGUGAGGUAACGGCUCACCAAGGCGACGAUCCGUAGCCGACCUGAGAGGGUGAUCGGCCACACCUGGAACUGAGACACGGUCCAGACUCCUAUCGGGAGGCAGCACGUGGGGAAUAUUGCAUCAAUGGGGGAAAGCCCUGAUGCAAGCA